UAAGCGGAGGAAAAGAAACCAACAGGGAUUGCCUCAGUAGCGGCGAGUGAAGCGGCAAAAGCUCAAAUUUGAAAUCUGGCGUCUUUGGCGUCCGAGUUGUAAUUUGAAGAAGGUAUCUUUGGGCCCGGCUCUUGUCUAUGUUCCUUGGAACAGGACGUCACAGAGGGUGAGAAUCCCGUGCGAUGAGAUGACCCGGGUCUGUGUAAAGUUCCUUCGACGAGUCGAGUUGUUUGGGAAUGCAGCUCUAAGUGGGUGGUAAAUUCCAUCUAAAGCUAAAUAUUGGCGAGAGACCGAUAGCGAACAAGUACAGUGAUGGAAAGAUGAAAAGAACUUUGAAAAGAGAGUGAAAAAGUACGUGAAAUUGUUGAAAGGGAAGGGCUUGAGAUCAGACUUGGUAUUUUGCAUGUUGCUCUCUCGGGGGCGGCCGCUGCGGUUUACCGGGCCAGCAUCGGUUUGGAGCGGCAGGAUAAUGGCGGAGGAAUGUGGCACGGCUUCUGCUGUGUGUUAUAGCCUCUGACGAUACUGCCAGCCUAGACCGAGGACUGC
RNAcentral lists this ribosomal RNA (546 nucleotides) under Candida albicans. RNAcentral's name for it is "LSU rRNA". It matches the Rfam family "Eukaryotic large subunit ribosomal RNA", at positions 47 to 569 of the family's 3401-position model. The record is from RNAcentral. Lineage: Eukaryota; Fungi; Ascomycota; Pichiomycetes; Serinales; Debaryomycetaceae.